AGCGAACGUUUGCGGCGGGCUUAACACAUGCAAGUCGAACGGGCUGUUCCUUCGGGGGCAGUCAGUGGCGCACGGGUGCGUAACACGUAGGUAAUCAACCCUCUGGUUGGGGAUAACACUUCGAAAGGAGUGCUAAUACCCGGUAUGGCGCAGCGGUCUUCGGAUCGCGGCGAGAAAGACCCGCAAGGGUUGCCAGAGGACGAGCCUGCGGCCCAUCAGCUAGUUGGCGAGGUAACGGCUCACCAAGGCGAAGACGGGUAGCUGGUCUGAGAGGAUGAUCAGCCACACUGGAACUGAGACACGGUCCAGACUCCUACGGGAGGCAGCAGUGGGGAAUUUUGGACAAUGGGCGCAAGCCUGAUCCAGCAAUGCCGCGUGCAGGACGAAGGCCUUCGGGUUGUAACUGCUUUUGUACAGAACGAAAAAGACCUACUUCUAAUACAGGGGUGGCAUGACGGUACUGUAAGAAUAAGCACCGGCUAACUACGUGCCAGCA
Molecule: ribosomal RNA, 496 nt
Filed under: uncultured bacterium
Lineage: Bacteria
Description: bacterial SSU rRNA
Rfam family: Bacterial small subunit ribosomal RNA
Source: RNAcentral